Molecule: long non-coding RNA, 1967 nt
Organism: Oreochromis aureus
Lineage: Eukaryota; Metazoa; Chordata; Actinopteri; Cichliformes; Cichlidae
Source: Ensembl
CUAGAAGUUUAGAAAAGGUGACAUUAUUACAUUCCUUUCUUAAUGUGAAAAACAACUCAGUUGAAGACCACUUUGCCUGUGGUGACGACUUUGAACAGCGACUUUAUUUAUUUUUUUAAUUUUGCAGCUCGCACAGGUAGCAUUGAGAUUAUGUCUGCUGAACUCAGCAGUCAGAAGCUUGCACUUGUGAGAGGACUAUCACAGUUAUCAUCCAACCGGAGGUUUGAGUGACUCUGUCUGGAUGCAUUUCCUUCGUGUGUUUGUCGUCGUUGUCGUCUUGUAAACCGAAGUGAUGAUGUAUGUGACUGUGACAGCGAACCAAGUAGAAAAAAAAACGCGCACACAAAUUGUUACAGUAUAGUGGAAAAAUGAAGUAGACUGUUACAAUUCCCAGUUCCUUUCUCUUACCCUCAUGGUGCCUGUGUGUCUCCCUUUUAUGGCCAAGUGUUGGUUGUUGUAUAUAAAUGUCUUUCCAUUCACCCAUCACUCCAAGGUGAUCUGUGCAUCAUCUUUUAUGUGUCUGCUUCCCACCGUUACGGCUCCGAUCCGCCGACCAAGAACCAACAGACCGUGUGAAACUUUGCUGUUUGUGUUUACAAAUGUUAAGAUAAAUCCUGACUUGGAUGUUAAAAAACAAAACAAAACAAAAGGGAAGACAAUGCAAACAGACAGAGGAGCAACAAUCCUCUCACUACACCAUCAGGGGGAUGAAGUAUGAAUCCUCUAUUUUCAGGUCCUUAUCUACUGAAUACUUGAAGUAGGGAGUUCUCCUACCAUGAAAUAGUAAUAUAUGAUUUACAUGGUAGACGACAUUUCAAUUGUGCCCAUGCAUGUUGAUUUUUACAUAAUGUGCCAACUGAAAGUGAUGAUGUAAGGAUAAUCUCCUGUUCUCUAUGCAGAGCGAUUUCUCUACUGUUGUGUCACAAAAAAAAAGGUUUCGGAGACACCAAGGUUUAGAGGCUGGGACUGGUUUCCUGAGCUUAGACGCAAGAGUAAUCUGACAUUGCGCUUCAGUGUGUGGCAGAUUUGAGAAGGCAAGGCUUCAUCGGUGCCUAGAAACAGCUGUGUAGAAAGACUUGAAAAGUCACCGGUAAUUUUCAAAAGCCUUCAGAAAAAAGAAAAAAAAAGCCUACCAUACAUUUUCACUGUAUUGUUGUAAACAGGUUGUUUUUGUUUUAUUGCAUAUCACUGAAAACUUUGGAUUAAACAAAUCACUGUGACCAAUGCCAGAAACGCUUUUGUUUGACGGAACAAAUAUUAUGUUUACUUUUUUAUUAUUCAUUUUUUUUGUAUUUAAGUUAGCUUUAUUUUUUCUAUUGUUUCAGUGCACUGAACAUGCCAGUUUGAGACUGUACUAUUUGUAUAGGUAAAUGUUUUGAGGUGUACAGUAAAAACCUAGGAGCAAACUAAAUGUGUGUCCAGCAUGCUGAAUGAUUAUUCGUGUGAACGUGAGCUAAUCUCCCAUAAAGCAUCAUUCCUCAUACAUUAAUUGCAUCUGCAUCGUGCAUUGUGACGGUGUGAUGUUGUGUUUGAGAGUGAUGUGUGUCUCACUUACUGUGUCCCCUUAGUAGACAGCCUGUGCAGUUCUGUGAGAGUGCAGCAUGUUCUUGGAGUUGCUGGUGUAAAUGCAUUCAGAAAAGAGGGAUGUGUGUGUGCAUAACUGCAAUUUAUUUGUUUAUGAGUGCGUGUAUGUUGUUGUGUGAAUGCACAAGAGAAAACUAUUUAAAAAAAACUAAACAAAAACAACAACAACUUUAUAAAGAGAAAGUCCCUAAAUGAAAAAAAAAGGAGAUUGAGUAAGUUUGGGAAAAAAAAGCAUGGAUACUCUGUAAUGUUUUGUUUUAUAAAAACUAUAGGAGGCUGUCCUCAGUGCCCCAGUUUGCUAUUGUAUGUGCUGUAUCAGAAUAUUACUAUUGAGUGUUGGCCAGCUUGUUUAUAUCCAUCAAAUAAAGGUGACUUUCUUUCUG